Molecule: unclassified non-coding RNA, 253 nt
Filed under: uncultured bacterium
Lineage: Bacteria
Description: contains 16S-23S intergenic spacer region
Rfam family: Bacterial small subunit ribosomal RNA
Source: RNAcentral
UACAGAGGUGGCGAGCGUUGUUCGGAUUCAUUGGGCGUAAAGGGUCCGUAGGCGGUUCGGAAAGUCAGAUGUGAAAUCCUACAGCUCAACUGUGGAACUGCAUUUGAAAUUCCCGAACUCGAGUGUGAGAGGGGUAAAGGGAAUUCCCGGUGUAAGGGUGAAAUCUGCAGAGAUCGGGAGGAACACCAGUCGCGAAGGCGCUUUACUGGCUCAUUACUGACGCUGAGGGACGAAAGCCAGGGGAGCAAACGGG